GGCGUAUAACGCGCGCAGGCGSGUUUUUAAAUUUGAUGUGAAAACCCACGGAUCUACCGUGGAGGGUCAUUGGAAACUGGGCAUCUUGAGUGCAGAAGAGAAAAGCGGAAUUUCACGUGUAGCGAGGAAAUGCGUAGAGAUGUGGAGGAACACCAGUGGCGAAGGCGGGUUUUUGGUCUGUAACUGACGCUGAGGCGCGAAAGCGUGGGGAGCAAACAGGAUUAGAUAUCCUGGUAGUACACGCCGUAAACGAUGAGUGAUAAGUGUUAGAGGGUUUCCGCCCUUUAGUGSUGCAGSUAACGCAUUAAGCACUCCSCCUGGGGAGUACGGUCGCAAGGCUGAAACUCAAAGGAAUUGRCGGGGGCCCGCACAAGCGGUGGAGCAUGUGGUUUAAUUUGAAGCAACGCGAAGAACCUUACCAGGUCUUGACAUCCUCUGACAACUUUAGAGAUAGAGCGUUCCCCUUCGGGGGACAGAGUGACAGGUGGUGCAUGGUCGUCGUCAGCUCGUGUCGUGAGAUGUUGGGUUAAGUUCCGCAACGAGCGCCACCCUUGAUCUUAGUUGCCAGCAUUUAGUUGGGCACUUUAAGGUGACUGCCGGUGACAAACCGGAGGAAGGUGGGGAUGACGUCCAAUCAUCAUGCCCCUUAUGACCUGGGCUACCCCCGUGCUACCAUGGAUGGUACAAAGGGCCGCAAGUCCGCGAGGUCAAACCAAUUCCAUAAAACCAUUCUCAGUUCGGAUUGUAGUCUGCAACUCGCGUACAUGAAGCUGGAAUCGCUAGUAAUCGCGGAUCAGCA
RNAcentral lists this ribosomal RNA (799 nucleotides) under Priestia megaterium. RNAcentral describes it as "bacterial SSU rRNA". It matches the Rfam family "Bacterial small subunit ribosomal RNA", at positions 557 to 1354 of the family's 1533-position model. The record is from RNAcentral. Lineage: Bacteria; Bacillati; Bacillota; Bacilli; Caryophanales; Bacillaceae.